UCCCUGGUGGUUCACUGGUAAGACUCCCCACUUCCAAUGCAGGGGCUCGAGGUUCAAUCCCUAGUCAGGGAA
This 72-nucleotide transfer RNA is filed under the name Ovis aries (sheep). It matches the Rfam family "tRNA". From Rfam's summary of the family: Transfer RNA (tRNA) molecules are approximately 80 nucleotides in length. Their secondary structure includes four short double-helical elements and three loops (D, anti-codon, and T loops). Lineage: Eukaryota; Metazoa; Chordata; Mammalia; Artiodactyla; Bovidae. The record is from Rfam by way of RNAcentral.